UCAAGUAAUUAAGUGCAUGUGGUGGAUGCCUUGGCAGUCAGAGGCGAUGAAAGACGUGAUAGCCUGCGAAAAGCUCCGGGGAGGCGGCAAAUAUCCUUUGAUCCGGAGAUGUCUGAAUGGGGGAACCCACCUACUUUAAGGUAGGUAUUGCAACAUGAAUACAUAGUGUUGCAAGGCGAACGAGGGGAAGUGAAACAUCUCAGUACCCUUAGGAAAAGAAAUCAAUUGAGAUUCCCUCAGUAGCGGCGAGCGAACGGGGAUCAGCCCAUUAAGUUAUGUGUGUUUUAGUGGAACGCUCUGGGAAGUGCGAACGUAGAGGGUGAUAUUCCCGUACACGAAAGGGCACACAUAAUGAUGACGAGUAGGGCGAGGCACGUGAAACCUUGUCUGAAUAUGGGGGGACCAUCCUCCAAGGCUAAAUACUCCUGACUGACCGAUAGUGAACCAGUACCGUGAGGGAAAGGCGAAAAGAACCCCUGUGAGGGGAGUGAAAUAGAUCCUGAAACCGCAUGCAUACAAGCAGUGGGAGCACCUUCGUGGUGUGACUGCGUACCUUUUGUAUAAUGGGUCAGCGACUUAUAUUCAGUAGCGAGGUUAACCGUAUAGGGGAGCCGUAGAGAAAUCGAGUCUUAAUAGGGCGUUUAGUUGCUGGGUAUAGACCCGAAACCAGGCGAUCUAUCCAUGAGCAGGUUGAAGGUUGGGUAACACUAACUGGAGGACCGAACCCACUGUCGUUGAAAAGCCAGGGGAUGACUUGUGGAUAGGGGUGAAAGGCUAAUCAAGCCUGGUGAUAGCUGGUUCUCCCCGAAAGCUAUUUAGGUAGCGCCUCGGACGAAUACCAUAGGGGGUAGAGCACUGUUUCGGCUAGGGGGUCAUCCCGACUUACCAAACCGAUGCAAACUCCGAAUACCUAUGAGUACUAUCCGGAGACAGACUGCGGGUGCUAACGUCCGUAGUCAAGAGGAAAACAAUCCAGACCGCCAGCUAAGGCCCCAAAAUCAUAGUUAAGUGGGAAACGAUGUGGGAAGGCAUAGACAGCUAGGAGGUUGGCUUAGAAGCAGCCACCCUUUAAAGAAAGCGUAAUAGCUCACUAGUCGAGUCGGCCUGCGCGGAAGAUGUAACGGGGCUAAAACUAUGUGCCGAAGCUGCGGAUGUAUACUUUGUAUACGUGGUAGGGGAGCGUUCUGUAAGCCGAUGAAGGUGUGUUGAGAAGCAUGCUGGAGGUAUCAGAAGUGCGAAUGCUGACGUGAGUAACGACAAAACGGGUGAAAAACCCGUUCGCCGAAAGACCAAGGGUUCCAGUCCAACGUUAAUCGGGGCUGGGUGAGUCGACCCUAAGGCGAGGCCGAAAGGCGUAGUCGAUGGGAAAAUGGUUAAUAUUCCAUUACUUCUGUGUAAUGCGAUGAGAGGACGGAGAAGGCUAAAUCAGCCUGGCGUUGGUUGUCCAGGUGAAAGGAUGUAGGCAUGUAUCUUAGGCAAAUCCGGGGUACUCUAUGCUGAGAUCUGAUAGCAAGCUGUACUUGUACAGCGAAGUGGUUGAUGCCAUGCUUCCAGGAAAAGUCUCUAAGCUUCAGUUACACAGGAAUCGUACCCGAAACCGACACAGGUGGUCAGGUCGAGUAGACCAAGGCGCUUGAGAGAACUCUGCUGAAGGAACUAGGCAAAAUGGUACCGUAACUUCGGGAGAAGGUACGCUGUUGUUGGUGAUGGAACUCGCUUCCUGAGCUGACGACAGCCGCAGAAACCAGGCCGCUGCAACUGUUUAUUAAAAACAUAGGCACUCUGCAAACACGAAAGUGGACGUAUAGGGUGUGAUGCCUGCCCGGUGCUGGAAGGUUAAUUGAUGGGGUUAGCGUAAGCGAAGCUCUUGAUCGAAGCCCCAGUAAACGGCGGCCGUAACUAUAACGGUCCUAAGGUAGCGAAAUUCCUUGUCGGGUAAGUUCCGACCUGCACGAAUGGCAUAAUGAUGGCGGCGCUGUCUCCAGCAGAGGCUCAGUGAAAUCGAAAUCGCUGUGAAGAUGCAGUGUACCCGCGCUAGACGGAAAGACCCCGUGAACCUUUACUGCAGCUUGACACUGAACUUUGACCUUACUUGUGUAGGAUAGGUGGGAGGCUUUGAAGCUGGAACGCUAGUUCCAGUGGAGCCGUCCUUGAAAUACCACCCUGGUAAUGUUGAGGUUCUAACUCUGUCCGUGAUCCGGGACGAGGACCGUGUCUGGUGGGUAGUUUGACUGGGGCGGUCUCCUCCUAAAGAGUAACGGAGGAGUACGAAGGUGCGCUCAGCGUGGUCGGAAAUCACGCGUAGAGUAUAAAGGCAAAAGCGCGCUUAACUGCGAGACCCACAAGUCGAGCAGGUACGAAAGUA
This 2365-nucleotide ribosomal RNA is filed under the name Acinetobacter baumannii. RNAcentral's name for it is "bacterial LSU rRNA". It matches the Rfam family "Bacterial large subunit ribosomal RNA", at positions 3 to 2407 of the family's 2925-position model. The record is from RNAcentral. Lineage: Bacteria; Pseudomonadati; Pseudomonadota; Gammaproteobacteria; Moraxellales; Moraxellaceae.